ACGCUGGCGAUAGGCCUAACACAUGCAAGUCGAGGGGCAGCACAUGAAGCAGCAAUGCGGAUGGUGGCGACCGGCGCACGGGUGAGUAACACGUAUGCAACCUGCCUGCAACAAGGGGAUAACCCGUUGAAAGACGGGCUAAUAUCCUAUAAUACAGGGGCCCCGCAUGGGGAUAUUUGUUAAAGAUUAAUCGGUUGCGGAUGGGCAUGCGUUCCAUUAGGUAGUUGGAGGGGUAACGGCCCCCCAAGCCAACGAUGGAUAGGGGAACUGAGAGGUUUAUCCCCCACACUGGUACUGAGACACGGACCAGACUCCUACGGGAGGAAGCAGUGAGGAAUAUUGGUCAAUGGAGGCAACUCUGAACCAGCCACGUCGCGUGAAGGAAGACGGCCCUACGGGUUGUAAACUUCUUUUGUAAGGGAAUAAAGUGUAGUACGCGUACUAUUUUGCAAGUACCUUACGAAUAAGGAUCGGCUAACUCCGUGCCAGCAGCCGCGGUAAUACGGAGGAUCCGAGCGUUAUCCGGAUUUAUUGGGUUUAAAGGGUGCGCAGGCGGAAGAUUAAGUCGGCGGUGAAAUUUUGCAGCUCACUGUAAAGUGCCUUCGAAGCUGGUUUCUUGAGUGUGGAUGAAGUAGGCGGAAUUUGUGGUG
This 650-nucleotide ribosomal RNA is filed under the name uncultured bacterium. RNAcentral describes it as "bacterial SSU rRNA". It matches the Rfam family "Bacterial small subunit ribosomal RNA", at positions 33 to 675 of the family's 1533-position model. The record is from RNAcentral.